Molecule: transfer-messenger RNA, 165 nt
Filed under: Azospira oryzae
Lineage: Bacteria; Pseudomonadati; Pseudomonadota; Betaproteobacteria; Rhodocyclales; Rhodocyclaceae
Description: transfer-messenger RNA Dechl_suill_PS
Rfam family: Betaproteobacteria transfer-messenger RNA
About the family: Bacterial tmRNA, also known as 10Sa RNA or SsrA, is named for its dual tRNA and mRNA-like properties.
Source: RNAcentral
GGGGGUGUACUGGCUUCGACAGGGCGGGCAAAGGUGCGCAGGCAACUCGUCAGGCGAUCGACGUUAAUGAAGCAAAUCUCCAAACGCCAACGAUGAGCGUUUCGCAAUCGCCGCUUAAGGCUUUUGCCGAGGCUGCUUGAGCCUUGUUACCAAAGAAAAGCCGGU